CCUACGGGGGGCUGCAGUGGGGAAUUUUGCGCAAUGGGCGAAAGCCUGACGCAGCAACGCCGCGUGGGUGAUGAAGGUCUUCGGAUCGUAAAACCCUGUCGUUGGGGACGAAGGUGGGGGCGUUAAUAGCGUUUCUGCUUGACGGUACCCGGAGAGGAAGCCCCGGCUAACUCUGUGCCAGCAGCCGCGGUAAUACAGAGGGGGCAAGCGUUAUUCGGAAUUAUUGGGCGUGGAGGGCGCAGACACGGGUGUAAUCCCCGAGCUCAACUUGGGAACUGCAUCUGAGACUGGAAGGCUAGAGUACUGGAGAGGGUGGUGGAAUUCCUCGUGUAGCGGUGAAAUGCGUAGAGAUGAGGAGGAACACCAGUGGCGAAGGCGGCCACCUGGACAGUAACUGACGCUGAGGCGCGAAAGCUAGGGGAGCGAACGGGAUUAGAUACCCCGGUAGUC
RNAcentral lists this ribosomal RNA (450 nucleotides) under uncultured bacterium. RNAcentral describes it as "partial 16S ribosomal RNA". It matches the Rfam family "Bacterial small subunit ribosomal RNA", at positions 338 to 795 of the family's 1533-position model. The record is from RNAcentral.